Molecule: ribosomal RNA, 1107 nt
Filed under: Triticum aestivum (bread wheat)
Lineage: Eukaryota; Viridiplantae; Streptophyta; Magnoliopsida; Poales; Poaceae
Description: partial small subunit ribosomal RNA
Source: RNAcentral
AUGGACCGCUCGUGGCUUCUCGCCGCCGCGACCGGAGGCGGAGGCCCGCCGCUCCUAGCGGGUCUACUCCUUGACCGCGACCGACCGAUUCGGGCCGCGGUGGCAUUCGGCUACGGGGACGGCUCCUGGGAUACGACGGUGACGCGCGUCGAUGACGCCGCCGCCGGGGUGGUCGCCGUCGACUUCGUCGACCGCGGCGGCGAGAGACGCGCCCGUGCAUUCCUCAACAUCGACCGGGACGGCGUCCUGCUCCGCCUGGUCGCCGUCUUCGAUACGGUGGACCACGCCACCCGAGAGAACACCCGCAACGUGUUCGUUGUAUCGUCUGCACGCCGCCCUGAUCCCGCUGCACCCCCACCGGCCCCUCUCCUGCUAGGCCUACCACCAGCACCUGCCAUCCAGGUCGAUUACAUUGUCAUCGAUAUCCCAGACAACUUCCCUGUCCCUGAUGUGAGUGAGCACGGCUCAAAUGAUGGAGAUGAUGGACAAUAUGUACCUCCACUUGGUGCUGACCCGAGUGCAGCUGGGGGCGGGCAUAACAUAGCAGAUGACGGGGAUGCUCAAGAGUACCUACCUCCACUUGCCGAGGACCAGCUUGCAGUUGGCGGCGGCAACAACAGGCCACACAUAAAUGAUAAACAGGGAGAUUUGAUUCAGCGUGUUCAUGGUUUAGUUACAUUCCUGGUGGCUACUGAAGGAAUCAUGGAGCUGAAUGAUGAGCAGUGGUCAGAUGUGCGGACGAUGUUCACUAACUUCCACGAGCGUUUACCGGAGGAGCAUCAAUUAGAACUGGAAGAUCUGCUUGUGGAGAGGAGAAUGGAGCGAAUCCGUAGAUCCAAAGGGAGAAUGAUGAUGUCCUUCGCUUGCAACGUGACUGUUUCAUUUCUGUCACAUUGGAUACUCUUUCUCCUGUCUAUGCGAUUCACAGAAAGUGUCAGCUCUGAUUUGGCAACCGCUCUGGCCCCAUCGGCAGCUGCUCCGGCCCCACCCAAUGCACGGGAGCCAAACCAGUACUUGAUAUGGGGGGUAGAGAAGAUAGCUGCCCCAGCUCUGAUGAUGUUCAUGGUUUGGGCUGUGAAAAUCAUUUGUUAUCAGGCAAGAAUUUAA